GUCUUUUAUCCAUCCUAGCGAGCUGAUUUUGGAUCGUCCCCAUUCAGUCGGCAUGCCCAAGUACAUUUCGGGGUUAUCCCAUACCUGCACUUGUAAAAUAGUUGCUAGUCUUCUUCUCUUAUCACUGGGAACAUCCUUGCCACCAAUCAGCCCUGACUUUAAGCAGUUGAUCCUUUGUUCAGACGCGAUGAAAAAAAGCAGCAGGAGUUGUUGCCAUUUAUACAGUUCCGGUUCAGUGGCUUGAGCAAGAAGCAUAGCAUCAUUGGCAAAAAAAACAAAUGCAUUAGUGCGGGAGCCUGUUGUGUCAGUUUGAUGCCUUGUAUUCCUCCUUAUUCCUUGCUCCUGAUUAUCAUGUGGGAAAAAACGUCCAAUACUAGCAGGAAUAUAUACCGUGAAAGAGGGUCGCCUUGGAGAAGUCCUCUUUGUGGCUUGAUCUUCUCUCCGCAAACUCCAUUGAUCUUGUAACGGUAAGUAACCCCCAUGACCAGCGCCAUGACUAUUUUAACCUAGUUCGAAUGAAAACCAUAUGCUAACAAUCCUUUUUCCAGGAACUUCCACUCUACUUGAUCGAAGGCUUUAUUCAUGUCAAGCUUGACACUCAAAUGAUCUCUGCCUAUUCUGCAUCUCUUCUUCAGUGCGUUAAAUGCCUCUUGCACUAUAAUAAGAUUGUCCUGAAUUUGUCUCCCCCUAUUAAAAGCAUUCUUCUGGGGGGUGAUGAUAGAAUUCAUUGCUGGUUUCAGUCUUGUUACCAAGAUCCUGGAGAUGAUUUUACAAACAAAGUUACAGCAGCUGAUGGGUCGAAAGUUGGAGAUAGAUUCUGGAUUUUGGGUUUUUGGAGCCAAGGUAACUAGUGCCUCAUUUAUAUCUUCUGGUAGAUUCCAUGUGUCAAAGAAAGAAAUUACUGCCUUACUCACUUCUUCUCCUACUGUGUCCCAUUGUUUUUGGUAGAAUAGACUGUUCAAUAUGUCCGGUCCAGGAGCUUUCAUGCUUCCCAGGCAGAACUGUAUCGUCUCUCUGUUCCCAACUUGCUAAUGUCCUUGCUUAAGUAGGAUCUCACAGCCAUGGAUAAUGCUGGCCCAGACCCACGAGGAACCAGUUCGCUUUGGAGCGUGCCAGAAGUCUUCAUUGGGGAAGUAAAUCCCUUUUAGAACCUGGACCCAGAGAGACUCAGGGUUGUGCAUAAUUCUCCAGACUUGCUUAGCCAACAUGCCUGAUUGUUUGCUUCAAAGUCUUUGAAGCCUAUCCCCCCCUCAUUCUUGAGCUUCGUUAGGAGUUCCCAUUUCCGCCAAUGAAUACCUUUGUCUCCUUUGGAGGUCCAACAGAAACGGGCUACUUUAGAACAAAGGUCCUUGCAAAAGGCUUUGGGAAAUCUGAGUAUUGCCAUAGCAUAUGAAGGUAUGGCCUAGACUACAGCCUUAAUGAGGGUCUCUUUACCAGAUUGAUUUAAGAAGUGUCCUUUCCAUCCCUGAAGUUUGUUCAGCACCUUGUCUUUUAUCCAUCCUAGCGAGCUGAUUUUGGAUCGUCCCCAUUCAGUCGGCAUGCCCAAGUACAUUUCGGGGUUAUCCCAUACCUGCACUUGUAAAAUAGUUGCUAGUCUUCUUCUCUUAUCACUGGGAACAUCCUUGCCACCAAUCAGCCCUGACUUUAAGCAGUUGAUCCUUUGUUCAGACGCGAUGAAAAAAAGCAGCAGGAGUUGUUGCCAUUUAUACAGUUCCGGUUCAGUGGCUUGAGCAAGAAGCAUAGCAUCAUUGGCAAAAAAAACAAAUGCAUUAGUGCGGGAGCCUGUUGUGUCAGUUUGAUGCCUUGUAUUCCUCCUUAUUCCUUGCUCCUGAUUAUCAUGUGGGAAAAAACGUCCAAUACUAGCAGGAAUAUAUACCGUGAAAGAGGGUCGCCUUGGAGAAGUCCUCUUUGUGGCUUGAUCUUCUCUCCGCAAACUCCAUUGAUCUUGUAACGGUAAGUAACCCCCAUGACCAGCGCCAUGACUAUUUUAACCUAGUUCGAAUGAAAACCAUAUGCUAACAAUCCUUUUUCCAGGAACUUCCACUCUACUUGAUCGAAGGCUUUAUUCAUGUCAAGCUUGACACUCAAAUGAUCUCUGCCUAUUCUGCAUCUCUUCUUCAGUGCGUUAAAUGCCUCUUGCACUAUAAUAAGAUUGUCCUGAAUUUGUCUCCCCCUAUUAAAAGCAUUCUUCUGGGGGGUGAUGAUAGAAUUCAUUGCUGGUUUCAGUCUUGUUACCAAGAUCCUGGAGAUGAUUUUACAAACAAAGUUACAGCAGCUGAUGGGUCGAAAGUUGGAGAUAGAUUCUGGAUUUUGGGUUUUUGGAGCCAAGGUAACUAGUGCCUCAUUUAUAUCUUCUGGUAGAUUCCAUGUGUCAAAGAAAGAAAUUACUGCCUUACUCACUUCUUCUCCUACUGUGUCCCAUUGUUUUUGGUAGAAUAGACUGUUCAAUAUGUCCGGUCCAGGAGCUUUCAUGCUUCCCAGGCAGAAGGCAGCCUCCUUGACUUCAUUUUCCGUUACAGGCUCUAAGAGUUCCCUGUUCAGACUUUCAUAGAUGACUCUUGGAACUGCGUUGAGGCAUUCAGUGAUAUUCUGGCGGUUCGUGCUUUUGUAAAUAUCUGGAUAGAAGUCUGGCACAUCUCGAUUUAUAGCUAAUUGGCUUCUAACCCAGGUACCUUGCAUAUCCUUGAUCCUCUCAAUUCGAUUUCUUUCUCUACGUUGGACAGUGGAAGCAUGAAAGAACUUUGUGUUCUUGUCCCCGCUUUUCAACCAUUUGAUUCUUGAUCUUUGGCUCCAGAAUAGUUCCUCUUGCCUCCAAAGAUCUUUUAGUCUCAUUUUCCUUUGCUUAAUUUCCUGCCAGUCCUCCCCAGAAUUGCUGUAAUUUUGUAGGUGUUCCAACUGAUUCUUGAGCUCAGCUAUUUCCUUAUCAGCUCUAGAGAAGUUCUGGUGAUGCCAUUCAGUGAGCGCCAGUUUUGUGUUUGUUGUUUUCCCAGAUAAGUUGCUACAAUGACUACUAGCAGUUUCACUAGUAUUAUCCCAAGCUUUCUUUAUGGUUUCUUUACAU
RNAcentral lists this long non-coding RNA (3061 nucleotides) under Lotus japonicus. RNAcentral's name for it is "long non-coding RNA (LJAP_LNC000501)". Lineage: Eukaryota; Viridiplantae; Streptophyta; Magnoliopsida; Fabales; Fabaceae. The record is from RNAcentral.